RNAcentral lists this ribosomal RNA (353 nucleotides) under uncultured bacterium. RNAcentral describes it as "bacterial SSU rRNA". It matches the Rfam family "Bacterial small subunit ribosomal RNA", at positions 1 to 334 of the family's 1533-position model. The record is from RNAcentral.
ACAGAUCGUUCUAGAGUUUGAUCCUGGCUCAGGACAACGCUGCGGCGUGCUUAACACAUGCAAGUCGAACGGAACUCUUUGGAUCAAGGCUUCGGCCAAGUGAAUUUGAGUUUAGUGGCGGACGGGUGAGUAACGCGUGAGGAACCUGCCUUUCAGAGGGGGACAACAGUUGGAAACGACUGCUAAUACCGCAUAACGCAUAUUGAUCGCAUGGUCGAUAUGCCAAAGAUUUAUCGCUGAAAGAUGGCCUCGCGUCUGAUUAGCUAGUUGGUGAGGUAACGGCCCACCAAGGCGACGAUCAGUAGCCGGACUGAGAGGUUGACCGGCCACAUUGGGACUGAGAUACGGCCCAG